CCAGCCAUAGCUCAGUUGGUAGAGCGGAGGACUGUAGAGUGAGCAGCCAUCCUUAGGUCGCUGGUUCGAAUCCGGCUGGCUGGA
Non-coding RNA from Gongylonema pulchrum, 84 nucleotides. NCBI's taxonomy places the organism in Eukaryota, Metazoa, Nematoda, Chromadorea, Rhabditida, Gongylonematidae. The record is from Rfam.